GCCGCCGGCGGGGCGCGCGGGGCAGGCGCAGGCAGGGUCGCCGCGCGGACUUGCUACCGCCGUCGCGAGCACCGGGUCGGCAGGAAAAGUUUUCUCGAGCCGGGCCGGCGCGUUCUCUCCGCCCAGGAGUGCGGGCACUGCAGCUCCGCGCCGAGGGACCAGGCAUAUUCUGUUUUCCGUUGGCGUCCAUGAAAGAGUAACAGGCUCCAGUCCCUUCACGUGUCCUGAAACUACUCACCUAUCUAAGAAUCUCAGCAUUAUUGGCAUAACUCCACCUCCCUGUGCCUUUCCUCUCACGGAAGGAAGCUGAAAGAAGGGAUGAGUCAUGAGAAGCGACCCCAUGGACUGCAGCCCACCAGGCUCCUCCAUCCAUGGGAUUCUCCAGGCAAGAGUGCUGGAGUGGGGUGCCAUUGCCUUCUCCGAAAGCACAUACAGAGCUGGCCUGUCAGUGGAGCCAUUACUGCUGAGAAUGACCAGAACGUGGGGCUCAAGAACAUCACCCUGUGAUAGAAGGUGGAGCCAAAAAGCUACUGCCCUCACAGCUGCCGUAAACCGCCUCUUGUCUUCCAGGAGGCUGGGAGUUCCAUUCUGCUUGAGGAAACAUCUGAACUAACAUCUCACAUCAGCAUUAUUUGUAAGUUGCUCAUUGCAUUGAACUGAGGUAGCCAUUUGGACACACAGAGGUUUUGUCUCUCUAGCAAGGGUGGUUCCCUUCUUUUUUUGGUUUUUUAAAGAAACUCCCCACCCACCUCCGUACUGGGACUGUGCCACCCUGACUCUUGCACACACUCGCCAUGCCUGGGUAAGGGGAGUGGGAAACUGGUUCAGUCAUAAACAUGUGACAUGCGGAGCGUGUCCCAAACGGAACCCUGCUUGGGAUCGCUGUGCACACCUGGGAAGGAGAAGUCUUCCCUCCGUGGGCUCGCUGAGCCAGGAGGACGUGAGGAUGGUACUGGUGUCAUCUCGCUGCCGAGCGGGAAGAGCCUCUGUGGGGACAGUCGGGGAAGAAGAGCAGAACUGGAGCACGGAGACGGAGGCCUGCCCUCACUGCCGGGCCCGGGGCUGCUUCACGUCUGAUACCAGCUCGUGAGCACUGCGUGAGGUCAGCAGCAUCUGCUGCCACAAGAGGUGCUCAGUGAAUGUUAUUUCCCACCUCUUUUCUUCCCUCUUUGACUUUGGCGGCUGCCAGACAAGGGUUGAGACCAUCUAUGGCAGCCAGCACUUCUUUCUUUUAGAGGAAAGCCAGCCAGUCUGGACAACAAUGAGCACACGGUUAGCCCCCCAGAGCAGUGCAGGCCGCCUCUGCGCCUGACAGGUUCUGUCUUCAGAAAC
Molecule: long non-coding RNA, 1332 nt
Organism: Bos taurus (domestic cattle)
Lineage: Eukaryota; Metazoa; Chordata; Mammalia; Artiodactyla; Bovidae
Source: Ensembl